CAGUGCAGAAAAUGGUUCAGAGGGUUGGAUUCUUUGGAACUCUAGUCUGCGCCUCUAUUCCCAAUCCACUGUUUGACCUGGCAGAUAAAACAUGGUUCCCUUUUGGACCUUCUUUUGGAGCAACGCUAAUUGGGAAAGCCAAAAUACACAUUCAGAAACUGUUUGUGAUCAUAACCUUCAGCAGGCACAUAGUGGAGCAGAUGGUGUCUCUGAUUGGGUAAGUAACCUAGCCAUUGAGUAAUAUUGGGCCGCCUCUGAAGAAAUGGAAAUGUGUGUGUCUGUGCGUACGUGUGUUUAUGUGUGUAUGUGUGCAGGCUUGCGUGCGUGCUUGUGUCUCUGUGUCAUGGGGGAGGCAGGGGGACAAUGAGGGGGGCAGUAUCACACAUGAAUACGUUCAUUUGGAACAUGACGGUUGAGAGAAGUUCAAGUGUGGCAUUUUGAGGUCGUUCGUGCCCCUUUUAGG
This is a non-coding RNA of Salvelinus sp. IW2-2015, 463 nucleotides long. The record is from RefSeq and is a predicted model, not a curated record. NCBI's taxonomy places the organism in Eukaryota, Metazoa, Chordata, Actinopteri, Salmoniformes, Salmonidae.